UGGGGAAUAUUGCACAAUGGGCGCAAGCCUGAUGCAGCCAUGCCGCGUGUGUGAAGAAGGCCUUCGGGUUGUAAAGCACUUUCAGCGAGGAGGAAGGUGGUGAGCUUAAUACGCUCAUCAAUUGACGUUACUCGCAGAAGAAGCACCGGCUAACUCCGUGCCAGCAGCCGCGGUAAUACGGAGGGUGCAAGCGUUAAUCGGAAUUACUGGGCGUAAAGCGCACGCAGGCGGUUUGUUAAGUCAGAUGUGAAAUCCCCGGGCUCAACCUGGGAACUGCAUUUGAAACUGGCAAGCUAGAGUCUCGUAGAGGGGGGUAGAAUUCCAGGUGUAGCGGUGAAAUGCGUAGAGAUCUGGAGGAAUACCGGUGGCGAAGGCGGCCCCCCUGGACGAAGACUGACGCUCAGGUGCGAAAAGCGUGGGGAGCAAAACAGGAUUAGAUACCCUGGUAGUCCACGCUGUAAAACGAUGUCGAUUUUGGAGGUUGUGCCCCUUGAGGCGUGGNUUCCGGAGCUAACG
RNAcentral lists this ribosomal RNA (516 nucleotides) under uncultured bacterium. RNAcentral's name for it is "partial 16S ribosomal RNA". It matches the Rfam family "Bacterial small subunit ribosomal RNA", at positions 355 to 857 of the family's 1533-position model. The record is from RNAcentral.